AUUGAACGCUGGCGGAAUGCUUUACACAUGCAAGUCGAACGGUAGCACGGGGGCAACCCUGGUUUUGAGUGGCGAACGGGUGAGUAAUACAUCGGAACGUGCCCGGUCGUGGGGGAGAACGUAGCCAAAUGGACGCUAAUACCGCAUACGAUCUGAGGAUGAAAGCGGGGGACCUUCGGGCUUCGCGCGAUCGCCGCCGCCGAUGUCAGAUUAGGUAGUUGGUGGGGUAAAGGCCUACCAAGCCGACGAUCUGUAGCUGGUCUGAGAGGACGACCAGCCACACUGGGACUGAGACACGGCCCAGACUCCUACGGGAGGCAGCAGUGGGGAAUUUUGGACAAUGGGCGCAAGCCUGAUCCAGCCAUUCCGCGUGCAGGACGAAGGCCUUCGGGUUGUAAACUGCUUUUGUAUGGAACGAAAAGGCUCUGGCUAAUACCUGGGGCUCAUGACGGUACCGUAAGAAUAAGCACCGGCUAACUACGUG
This 484-nucleotide ribosomal RNA is filed under the name uncultured bacterium. RNAcentral describes it as "partial 16S ribosomal RNA". It matches the Rfam family "Bacterial small subunit ribosomal RNA", at positions 30 to 507 of the family's 1533-position model. The record is from RNAcentral.